GGGGGGGGGUUCCGGGGGUUGGAACCCCCCUUUUUUUGGCCGAUCAAUGCAUUUGAAUGGGAGCAUAUAGUUGGAACCCCCCAGAUAUUACACCAUUGAAUGAGACUUGUCACAGGAUCUGUACUUGCCAGGAGCAAGACUGGUGUUUACUUUUUAUAUCUUCUGUCUCUUUUUAUAACUUAACAAUAGAAUGAUAUGUUUGUGAAUUUCACACCGACAAUCUUUGUAUAUGGAUGUUCGUAACUGUGUCCAUCAAUACAUAGAAGAGUCAAAUCCAGUGCCUAAGUAAUAGGAUAACCAUAUUUGGUGUAUGGAUUCCUUGUGACGUCUCCAUGUCAGUCAGACAGAUUUUUCCUGACCUCGACCUUAUUUCAUGGAUCAGUGAUCAAGGUUAAAGUACGUACAAUUAGCGGUAGGUCAACUAUAUGUGGAGUAUGGAAUAACGGAAAUGGGUACAUGUCAGUCUGGCAGGUUUCAUCUGAUCUUGAUCCCAAAUCCAUGUUCAUUGGUCAAUGUUAAGUUUUUGUUGUUAAGUCUGCUUUCCAAUUACCAUAAGCAAUAUGUAAACUAUAUUUGGUGAAUGGAACGAUUGUAAGAUAUACAUGUCUGUCUAGCAGAUAUCAUCUAACCACGACCUAAUUUUCAUGGUAUAUUGGCCAAUGUCAAAAUUUUAUGUGUUGGUCUGUUUUCAAGUAUCAUAAGCAGUUAUAGGUCUACUAUUUUUGGUGCCUGGAAUGAUUGUAAGUUGUUCAUGUCUGUCUGGCAAGUGUCAUCUGACCUUGACCUAAUCUUCAUAGUUCAUUUGUCAAUGUUAAGUUUUUGUGUUUUGGACUGUUUUUCAGGACUAUAAGCAAUAGGUAAACUUUAUCUUGUGUAUAGAAUGAUUAAAAACAAGUGUGUCUGUUUGGUAGAUAUCAUCUGAACUUUACCUCAUUUUCAUGGUUCAUUGGUCAAUUUUAAGUUUUUCUUUUUAAUUCUGUUUUAUCAAUUUAUUUUGGUGUUUUUUCUAUUAUAAUAAGCAUGAGGUCUACUAUAUUUGUUUUACAGUCUGUCUGACCUGAGUUUCUGUGAUGCUCUUAGUUAAACGUUAAUCCUAAAGACUUUCAACUUCAAUGGUCAUAAAAGCAGGCGAGACAUUUCAGCGUGUGCACUGUUGUUUUUCUAUCGACGCAUACGCAUAUGUAUGGUACCAUCUUCAGCUUCUACAGUAAUAUUAUUCUAUCUUUCAUGGU
RNAcentral lists this long non-coding RNA (1232 nucleotides) under Mytilus galloprovincialis (Mediterranean mussel). The record is from RNAcentral. Lineage: Eukaryota; Metazoa; Mollusca; Bivalvia; Mytilida; Mytilidae.